Microcebus murinus (gray mouse lemur) is the source of this 377-nucleotide non-coding RNA. The record is from RefSeq and is a predicted model, not a curated record. NCBI's taxonomy places the organism in Eukaryota, Metazoa, Chordata, Mammalia, Primates, Cheirogaleidae.
GUAAACGGAAGCUGGAAGGUGGCGGUGGUCUUUAUAGCCCAGUAUCUUGCAGGUGUUCCUAGGUGGGACGGGCCCUGGCGAGAGCGCGUGGUGUCAAGAAGUCUUGGAAGACUGGAGUUGGACUAAUGGGAAAUCGAUUUAAGUCAUUGGACUUGGAGUCUGACCCUCAACAAGUCAGCUGGAGAUAAUGGAAAUUGAUACUAAAAUCUUGGUGGAAGAGGAACAAGAAAUGCAUUACUUUGCCUUUUCAAAUAGUUUGCAUGGAUACUGUUUAUUUUUCCGCCUAAUUUGCCAUUUGGCAGGGUCUGAUGCAUAAAUAAUAAAUUAGGUUGUUAUUAAUUACUGUUUUAAUUAAAAAGAAUAUAUUGGCUUUGCAA